Molecule: small nuclear RNA, 185 nt
Filed under: Arabidopsis thaliana (thale cress)
Lineage: Eukaryota; Viridiplantae; Streptophyta; Magnoliopsida; Brassicales; Brassicaceae
Description: ATSL227320
Rfam family: U1 spliceosomal RNA (bases 1-162)
About the family: U1 is a small nuclear RNA (snRNA) component of the spliceosome (involved in pre-mRNA splicing). Its 5' end forms complementary base pairs with the 5' splice junction, thus defining the 5' donor site of an intron. There are significant differences in sequence and secondary structure between metazoan and yeast U1 snRNAs, the latter being much longer (568 nucleotides as compared to 164 nucleotides in human).
Source: RNAcentral
UACUUACCUGGACGGGGUCAACUCGUGAUCAAGAAGACGAGUGGCCUAGGCUAGUGAAUUCCAUUGCACAUAACGGAAGGGUGCUUAGCUUAAGGUCUUCCCUUGUGGAAGAGCCUGCGUCAUUAUUUGUGGCAGAGGGGGUUUGCGUUCGCGCAGCCCCUACCAUUCCCAGUAGUUCAAUCUUU